UACGUAGGGCGCAAGCGUUAUCCGGAAUUAUUGGGUGUAAAGAGCUCGUAGGCGGUUUGUCGCGUCUGCCGUGAAAGUCCGGGGCUCAACUCCGGAUCUGCGGUGGGUACGGGCAGACUAGAGUGAUGUAGGGGAGACUGGAAUUCCUGGUGUAGCGGUGAAAUGCGCAGAUAUCAGGAGGAACACCGGUGGCGAAGGCGGUUCUCUGGGCCUUACCUGACGCUGAGGAGCGAAAGCGUGGGGAGCAAACAGG
RNAcentral lists this ribosomal RNA (253 nucleotides) under uncultured bacterium. RNAcentral's name for it is "partial 16S ribosomal RNA". It matches the Rfam family "Bacterial small subunit ribosomal RNA", at positions 524 to 776 of the family's 1533-position model. The record is from RNAcentral.